This 771-nucleotide ribosomal RNA is filed under the name uncultured bacterium. Its description in RNAcentral is "bacterial SSU rRNA". It matches the Rfam family "Bacterial small subunit ribosomal RNA", at positions 79 to 846 of the family's 1533-position model. The record is from RNAcentral.
CUUGCUUCUCUUGAGAGCGGCGGACGGGUGAGUAAUGCCUAGGAAUCUGCCUGGUAGUGGGGGAUAACGUUCGGAAACGGACGCUAAUACCGCAUACGUCCUACGGGAGAAAGCAGGGGACCUUCGGGCCUUGCGCUAUCAGAUGAGCCUAGGUCGGAUUAGCUAGUUGGUGGGGUAAUGGCUCACCAAGGCGACGAUCCGUAACUGGUCUGAGAGGAUGAUCAGUCACACUGGAACUGAGACACGGUCCAGACUCCUACGGGAGGCAGCAGUGGGGAAUAUUGGACAAUGGGCGAAAGCCUGAUCCAGCCAUGCCGCGUGUGUGAAGAAGGUCUUCGGAUUGUAAAGCACUUUAAGUUGGGAGGAAGGGUUGUAGAUUAAUACUCUGCAAUUUUGACGUUACCGACAGAAUAAGCACCGGCUAACUCUGUGCCAGCAGCCGCGGUAAUACAGAGGGUGCAAGCGUUAAUCGGAAUUACUGGGCGUAAAGCGCGCGUAGGUGGUUUGUUAAGUUGGAUGUGAAAUCCCCGGGCUCAACCUGGGAACUGCAUUCAAAACUGACUGACUAGAGUAUGGUAGAGGGUGGUGGAAUUUCCUGUGUAGCGGUGAAAUGCGUAGAUAUAGGAAGGAACACCAGUGGCGAAGGCGACCACCUGGACUAAUACUGACACUGAGGUGCGAAAGCGUGGGGAGCAAACAGGAUUAGAUACCCUGGUAGUCCACGCCGUAAACGAUGUCAACUAGCCGUUGGAAGCCUUGAGCUUUUAGUGG